ACUGCAAACCAGGUUAUCGCUCUCAUUAAGUUGGGUGAGGAAAGUCCGGACAGCAAAGAGCAACACACCGGUUAAUGGCCGGUCCCGAUCUUGAUCGGGAAGAAAGUGCCACAGAAAAUUACCGUCCUGAUGAAUAAUCGGAAUAAGGGUGAAAACGUGAGGUAAGAGCUCACGGGAAUUGUUGGUAACAAUAGUUUUGGGUAAACCUUGUGUGCUGCAAUGCCACGUAUAUCCCGAUUUGCCUUAACGCAAAGUAAGCUGCUCGUUUAUAUUUCUGCUCUUGCAGAAUAUCGGGAAGGGUAGGCAGCAAGAUUGUUGCAGUAAUGCAACAGCCAGAUAAAUGAUAGCCAUUCCGUCCUGAGCUUGUCGAAGGAUCGGGAACAGAAUCCGGCUUACAGGUUUGCAGUAAAU
Molecule: RNase P RNA, 411 nt
Filed under: Ginsengibacter hankyongi
Lineage: Bacteria; Pseudomonadati; Bacteroidota; Chitinophagia; Chitinophagales; Chitinophagaceae
Description: Bacterial RNase P class A
Rfam family: Bacterial RNase P class A
About the family: Ribonuclease P (RNase P) is a ubiquitous endoribonuclease, found in archaea, bacteria and eukarya as well as chloroplasts and mitochondria. Its best characterised activity is the generation of mature 5'-ends of tRNAs by cleaving the 5'-leader elements of precursor-tRNAs.
Source: Rfam by way of RNAcentral